RNAcentral lists this ribosomal RNA (468 nucleotides) under uncultured bacterium. RNAcentral describes it as "bacterial SSU rRNA". It matches the Rfam family "Bacterial small subunit ribosomal RNA", at positions 32 to 507 of the family's 1533-position model. The record is from RNAcentral.
AAUCAACGCUGGCGGCGUGCCUCAGACAUGCAAGUCGAACGAUUAAAGCUCUCUUCGGAGAGUGCAUAGAGUGGCGCACGGGUGAGUAACACGUAAGUAAUCUACCUUCGAGUGGGGAAUAACGUCCGGAAACGGGCGCUAAUACCGCAUAAUGCAGCGGCAUCGCAAGAUGACAGUUGUUAAAGGAGCAAUCCGCUUGAAGAGGAGCUUGCGGCAGAUUAGCUAGUUGGUAGGGUAAUGGCCUACCAAGGCUACGACUCUGUAACCGGUCUUAGAGGACGGUCGGUCACACUGACACUGAAUAACGGGUCAGACUCCUACGGGAGGCAGCAGUCGGGAAUUUUGGGCAAUGGGGAAAACCCUGACCCAGCAACGCCGCGUGAAGGAUGAAGUAUUUCGGUAUGUAAACUUCGAAAGAAUAGGAAGAAUUAAUGACGGUACUAUUUAUAAGGUCCGGCUAACUACGUG